CAAACCGAAUCAAGAUUCUCACACGAAAAGCACCAAAAACACGAGAGAAAAUGAAUCCAUGGAAUCGAGAAAAUGACCAACAAUUAACAGAAAAUUAAAAUUAAUUGUUCCAAAGAGAAAAGAGAACCGGUGAAUUCUUUUCCUUACUCAGCCAAUUCUUCGUCAUUCCAUCGCCAUUUUAAAUUGUUCUCUCUUCUUCUUCCGUUCCAAAUCAAGGUUAAUUUGUCACCUUAAUUCCAAGGAGAGAAAAUGUUAAUUGUCGAGAAAGAAAAUCAAUCUCUCCACAAUCGAUUGUCAUUGGUGUUGAAUAGAUUGUCUCUAAUGGUGGUGGACGUUUCAUCAUGAACUUCGGUGUACAUGGAGCUGAUUGUGAUUGUAGUUCUA
This is a long non-coding RNA of Panonychus citri (citrus red mite), 384 nucleotides long. RefSeq lists it as uncharacterized. Lineage: Eukaryota; Metazoa; Arthropoda; Arachnida; Trombidiformes; Tetranychidae. The transcript is spliced from 3 exons. The record is from RefSeq and is a predicted model, not a curated record.